CAAUAGCGUAUAUUAAAGUUGUUGCAGUUAAAAAGCUCGUAGUUGGAUUUCUGGUAGGAGCGACCGUGCCGAACUUGAUUGUUCGAGUAUUGUGUUGUCUUCAGCCAUCCUCGUGGAGAACUUUUCUAACAUUAACUUGUUGGGAUUGGGACCCGCGUCGUUUACUGUGAAAAAAUUAGAGUGUUUAAAGCAGGCAUUAGCUUGAAUACAUUAGCAUGGAAUAAUAAGAUAGGACUUUGGUACUAUUUUGUUGGUUUGCAUACCAAAUUAAUGAUCAACAGGAACAGUUUGAGGAUAUUCGUAUGAACGUGUCAGAGGUGAAAUUCUUGGAUUUUGAUCAGACGAACUACUGCGAAAGCAUUUAUCAAGGAUGUUUUCAUUAA
RNAcentral lists this ribosomal RNA (383 nucleotides) under uncultured eukaryote. RNAcentral's name for it is "partial 18S ribosomal RNA". It matches the Rfam family "Eukaryotic small subunit ribosomal RNA", at positions 592 to 976 of the family's 1831-position model. The record is from RNAcentral.